CCUACGGGCGGCAGCAGUGGGGGAUAUUGCACAAUGGGGGAAACCCUGAUGCAGCGACGCCGCGUGUGGGAAGACGGUCCUCUGGAUUGUAAACCACUGCCCCCAGGGACGAAGUUGACGGUACCUGGGGAGGAAGCUCCGGCUAACUACGUGCCAGCAGCCUCGGUAAUACGUAGGGAGCAAGCGUUGUCCGGAAUUACUGGGGGUAAAGGGCGCGUAGGCGGGAUGGCCAGCUGGGUGUGAAAUCUAGCGGCUCAACUGGUAGACGCAUUUAAAACUGCUAUUCUUGAGUGAAGGAGAGGCAGGCGGAAUUCCUAGUGUAGCGGUGAAAUGCGUAGAUAUUAGGAGGAACACCAGUGGCGAAGGCGGCCUGCUGGGCUUUUACUGACGCUGAGGCGCGAAAGUGUGGGGAGCAAACAGGAUUAGAUACCCGAGUAGUC
RNAcentral lists this ribosomal RNA (440 nucleotides) under uncultured bacterium. Its description in RNAcentral is "partial 16S ribosomal RNA". It matches the Rfam family "Bacterial small subunit ribosomal RNA", at positions 338 to 795 of the family's 1533-position model. The record is from RNAcentral.